AAAAAAAGUAAACUAUGGUUUCCGUGUCCAACUUUAAUUGUCCGUCUUAUAUGAAUUUUUUUUAUAAUUUAUAUUUUUAUUAUGGUUAGAUGAUAAAACAUGAUUAAUAUUUUAUGCGUGACUUGUAUUUUUUUUAUAAUUUUUUCAAAUAAGACGGACGGAGUUUUA
This is a non-coding RNA of Oryza glaberrima (African rice), 168 nucleotides long. NCBI's taxonomy places the organism in Eukaryota, Viridiplantae, Streptophyta, Magnoliopsida, Poales, Poaceae. The record is from Rfam.